UGAUCCGAUGUGGUGUGUAAAUACAACUGUAUCGGCAAUGGGUUGUGGGGCAUUAACAUUUGCUCUAAUUUUGUUUUGACAGACUGUGAAAAGAGCGUUGAGACCAUCACCACUGUACAGGAAGACACAGUCCAGUAAUGGGUGUCAGAGGUUCAGUAGUGAACGACAGAAACAAACAAUCCAAAUUACCUGCAGAACGCCCUUGAUGGAGGCUUCAGCUGCAUCGUCAGACUGGCAGCACUGAGAUAUUGACUGAGACGGGACGUGAGGGCCUACUCUGCAUGCUCAGAGUUCAAGCCCAGCAGGCUGCAGCGGGCCUGACAUAUUCCGGAACAGCAGCACAGUCUUUAGAUGACUCCUCUGAAGAUGAAAACAUGGCGAGUUCUUCUCAAGAGAAGCAGUACAGGUGUGCCUCAGCUCCACGGUCCCUCCUGCAGCCUCUGCUCCUGAUGCUAACGUCAUGUCUCCAUCACAACAAGCAGCAGACCUGGAGUGACAGACCUUUCUCCAGAGCUGCCCCCUCCCUCUGAAACCCCCCUCUCCAAAACACUAUUUGUGUCGUUUUUUAAGUCUUAUUUGCAUGAGAAUUGUUGAUCAUAACAUUUCCAGCAGAUGCCUUAAUGUAAUGUUUCUGCACAAUAAAUUACAUUGAUCAUAACAUAAUGGUAUUUCCUUGCACUUCCACACCAUGAUAUUGGCAGAUAAGAUGCUGAUUA
This is a long non-coding RNA of Platichthys flesus (European flounder), 716 nucleotides long. RefSeq lists it as uncharacterized. NCBI's taxonomy places the organism in Eukaryota, Metazoa, Chordata, Actinopteri, Pleuronectiformes, Pleuronectidae. The transcript is spliced from 4 exons. The record is from RefSeq and is a predicted model, not a curated record.